GCGCUGGCGUUGCCUGUGGGCUUGGGGCCCCUGCGCCGGGGCGGAGCGGGCAGCGAGGCUGGCGGGAGAUGCUGGGCUGCUCUGGAGAGCGCGCAACCGGGUUCAGUUCAUCGAAAACCCAGAGGUAGCCUACCGUGUGACUCAGCGGCACGGAAAACAUCAGAGUCAUUGACUUUGGCGUGGCAAAGUGGGAUCUCACACAUGGUACUUUAUCAAAUAAAGGGCACUGGCAUGUUAAACUGAUUCGUAGCAUCUUUUAAAUGUGACAA
This 269-nucleotide long non-coding RNA is filed under the name Homo sapiens (human). RNAcentral describes it as "HSALNT0053704". Lineage: Eukaryota; Metazoa; Chordata; Mammalia; Primates; Hominidae. The record is from RNAcentral.